Prosopis cineraria is the source of this 194-nucleotide small nucleolar RNA. RefSeq annotates it as small nucleolar RNA U3. The record is from RefSeq and is a predicted model, not a curated record. NCBI's taxonomy places the organism in Eukaryota, Viridiplantae, Streptophyta, Magnoliopsida, Fabales, Fabaceae. The transcript has a single exon.
ACGACCUUACUUGAACAGGAUAUGUUGUAUAGGCUUGUCACACUUUGUCCUUGAGUUUCAAGGAGACAACAGCCACAAUUUGGAUGAUAACCAAAGAUCACGUGACUAGAGCAUGACUACUGGCCUGUUGCUCCAACCUGUUCGGCCUCAGCUUGGGCGCAAUUUGGAUGGUCGCUUGAUUGUCUUGACAAGUA